CCUACGGGUGGCAGCAGUGAGGAAUAUUGGUCAAUGGACGAGAGUCUGAACCAGCCAAGUAGCGUGAAGGAUGACUGCCCUAUGGGUUGUAAACUUCUUUUAUAUGGGAAUAAAAUGUUCCACGUGUGGGCUUUUGUAUGUACCCUAUGAAUAAGGAUCGGCUAACUCCGUGCCAGCAGCCGCGGUAAUACGGAGGAUCCGAGCGUUAUCCGGGUUUAUUGGGUUUAAAGGGAGCGUAGGUGGAUUGUUAAGUCAGUUGUGAAAGUUUGCGGCUCAACCGUAAAAUUGCAGUUGAAACUGGCAGUCUUGAGUACAGUAGAGGUAGGCGGAAUGCGUGGUGUAGCGGUGAAAUGCUUAGAUAUCACGAAGAACGCCGAUUGCGAAGGCAGCUCACUGGACUGCAACUGACACUGAGGCUCGAAAGUGUGGGUAUCAAACAGGAUUAGAUACCCCUGUAGUC
Molecule: ribosomal RNA, 460 nt
Filed under: uncultured bacterium
Lineage: Bacteria
Description: partial 16S ribosomal RNA
Rfam family: Bacterial small subunit ribosomal RNA
Source: RNAcentral